GAUGAACGCUGACAGAAUGCUUAACACAUGCAAGUCGAUGGGGAAGUGGUGCUUGCACCAUGGCAACCAUGGCGGACGGGUGAGUAACGCGUAAGGGACUUACCUGCAGGACUGGGAUAACAGGGGGAAACUCCUGACAAGACCGGAUAAUGUCAUGGAGCUGCAUGGCUUUAUGAUGAAAGGAGACGCCUGCGGAGAGCCUUGCGUCCUAUUAGCUAGUUGGUGAGGUAAUGGCUCACCAAGGCGAAGAUAGGUAGCCGGCCUGAGAGGGUGGACGGCCACAAGGGGACUGAGAUACGGCCCUUACUCCUACGGGAGGCAGCAGUGGGGAAUAUUGGAUAAUGGGGGCAACCAUGAUCCAGCAAUUCUGUGUGCACGAAGAAGGUUUUCGGAUUGUAAAGUGCUUUCAGCAGGGAAGAAGUAAGUGACGGUACCUGCAGAAGAAGCGACGGCUAAAUACGUG
This 463-nucleotide ribosomal RNA is filed under the name uncultured bacterium. RNAcentral's name for it is "partial 16S ribosomal RNA". It matches the Rfam family "Bacterial small subunit ribosomal RNA", at positions 28 to 507 of the family's 1533-position model. The record is from RNAcentral.